GAACUCCAGGGCACUUCACCAGGCCUGAGACAACUGUGAGCAAGAGAGGCUGAGCCAGGAGCUGAGAAUCUACAGUGUUCUCUUCCCUCUGCUUGUCUUUCUCUUCUCCAGUGAUCUCUGGGCUUUCUGGACUGAGCUUAGUACUAGAAACAGACAGAGCAGAUGCAGAUCCACCUGUCCAGAACAAGUGAAAGGCAUAGCCAUGAGCAGUGUAGCAUACACUAUGCUCGAGAGGACAUCAAGGAACAUCAGAGACAGAGGCCAGCAUCAGUUGCACAAGACAUGGCUUUAUGAAUCCUAGACCAGCAGUGGAUGUCUUAUUGCUUGCCAACUUGUGUCCCAUGAGGCUCUACAACCUGGCAAGGAAUUAGUCACAACUCCAUGGAAGGAAGGUGCUGCCACCAAGAGCUGAUCAUCAUGAAAUGAGGUCACAGCAUGGUUGCUCACCCCAGGGAUUCUCUGUGUAGCCCCAAUUGUCCCGGCACAUGCUGUACAGACCAGGCCAACUUUGAACUCAGAGAAAUCUGCCUGCCUCUGACUCCUGAGUGCUGGGAUGAAAGGUGUGCAACAGUACCACCUGGCUCUGCCUCCCCAUCUUGAAGGUCUGCAUAUCUACUCUAAGAUAAUUAGAGUCCCAUUCAAACAGGGAACAAUACAACUGCCAUGCCUUGUCUGGCCUUGGCUGUGUUUCUCUUGCCUCUUAGCAACAUCUGUUGUGGCCAGUGAUGAUGGCUUGUAUUGAGUCAUUUUCUAAAUUCCCUGGAUUUUAAGGUGAAGAACUAAUUGGAGCCCUGGACUCACUGGGAACAAACGCUGGGACCUCGAGCUGAUCCUCCAAAUUUCUUAUUCGAAAAUUGAGGAACAAAGAUGGUCAGGAUAGUGAUUUUGUAUUCUGCAGAUUCCAAGGGUGUGGUGUGGUGUUACUGAGCAAACACCUUCUCAACAAACAGUAUUUGGGGAACUGGGCUUUCUGGAAAGAUUUGUCACCAUGGUUCUGGGUGUGGGGUGGAUGCACAGGAAAAAUAUUCUCUUGUCAGUAUUUAUUUGAUGAAGAAGGAAAAGGGGGUGGGUGGGAGGAGAGGAGGAAUGGGAGGAGCUCUAGACUCAGCUGAUGGAGAUCAGGGGAUGAGACCAAGCCAAACAAAGAGCCAGGCAGCUGCAUUCCAGCAUGUCAAUGUCAGUCUUGCUUAGCCCCACCCUUCCUUCUUUAGUAUUUCUUUGGAGUCCACCUCUCCCAGCUCUACCCCCUAGAUAGCUGUAGGCUCUGAGUCUUUUUUUUUUUUUUUAACAUCCUUAUGGCUGUCCCCAUGCAGGCCCCAUCCUGUCACUUGGAAAAAAAUCCUAAUUGGUGCCCUAGUCUUCAGGCAUCCCUUUCAGUGCUUCCUCAAUGGCCCCAGAGUAAGUGCAAAGUGAAAGCCAAAUACCUUGUAAGAGCAUAUAAGAUCCUGGUCACCAGCCCCUGGAUCCCCUUCUUCAUUCUCUUCCAGGCCCAGGAUUGAUCAAAUGCUUUUGAAAUGUGUUGUACUCAGGAUGCCUUCCUUGGAGCCCUUUCUUUGGGAUGAUGGGAAGGAAGUUCUGGGAUACUUGCCCUACACUUAGCCUGGAAAAAUCUGCUUUUCUAAGCCCUUCCAACCCUUCAGAAAUCUAAAACUAUUUCCAUGCUUGCUUCCUUUUGGGUCAGAAAGGAAUUUGCAUUA
Molecule: non-coding RNA, 1697 nt
Organism: Cricetulus griseus (Chinese hamster)
Lineage: Eukaryota; Metazoa; Chordata; Mammalia; Rodentia; Cricetidae
Source: RefSeq, a predicted model, not a curated record